This 774-nucleotide ribosomal RNA is filed under the name uncultured Neocallimastigales. RNAcentral's name for it is "partial large subunit ribosomal RNA". It matches the Rfam family "Eukaryotic large subunit ribosomal RNA", at positions 24 to 616 of the family's 3401-position model. Lineage: Eukaryota; Fungi; Neocallimastigomycota; Neocallimastigomycetes; Neocallimastigales. The record is from RNAcentral.
UAUGUGAUCGUCUCUCGCAUAUCAAUAAGCGGAGGAAAAGAAACUAACAAGGAUUCCCCUAGUAACGGCGAGUGAAGCGGGAAGAGCUCAAAUUUGAAAUCUUAAAGGGUUUCCCUUUACGAAUUGUAGUUUAAAGAAGUGUUUUCUGUUGAGGUUUUGGUAAAAGUUCUUUGGAAUAGGACAUCAUAGAGGGUGAGAAUCCCGUAUUUGACCUUUACUUUCAACUUUGUGAUACACUUUCAAAGAGUCGGAUUGUUUGGGAAUGCAGUCCAAAAUGGGUGGUAAAUUUCAUCUAAAGCUAAAUAUUGGCGAGAGACCGAUAGCGAACAAGUACCGUGAGGGAAAGAUGAAAAGAACUUUGAAAAGAGAGUUAAACAGUACGUGAAAUUGUCGAAAGGGAAGCGUUUGACACCAGUGUUGUUUUUCUGAAAAUCAAUUAAAGAACUGUUUAUGCUAAGUUGUUUAGACUUUAUCAGCUAUCUGCUUAGUUUUGAGCUUUUCUUUAAUGCACUUUUCAGUUAACAAGUCAACAUCAAUUUCUUUUGCUGUAAAAAAGCUUGAGGAAGGUGGCUUGAGAUUCGUCUUAAGUGUUUAUAGCCUCUUGCCUAUGCAGUCGGAGAGAUUGAGGUCUGCAGCGUAGAUCCUUCGGGGCUAAAUGCAUUUGUGCUAAGUUAUAGCAUUUUAUAGACAACUUGUUGACUAUGAUUUGUCUUGUAGCUUACUCGCUUAUGUUAUUUUACCUACGCUUAGGAUGUUGAGCGCAUGUCUCUCUCU